Long non-coding RNA from Nerophis ophidion (straightnose pipefish), 372 nucleotides. RefSeq lists it as uncharacterized. The transcript has 4 exons. Lineage: Eukaryota; Metazoa; Chordata; Actinopteri; Syngnathiformes; Syngnathidae. The record is from RefSeq and is a predicted model, not a curated record.
UGGAGCUGUAAGUUUGCAUCUUUUGAAGUUUUAUACAUCGUCACUCGUUUUAGUAAAGUUGCUAGACAUACCUUGAAAAAAUGUAAUCAUCCUUUAUUAAUUUUACCGGAUUAAGAAUCAUAAAUAGUCUGUAAAAUGUCAGAAGAUUCCAUUUACAGCAGUUUAACAGCAGCUAGCUAGCUAGCUAGCAAGGGUGGCUGACAUGGGCAAAUGAGCUGCAAAGUCCAUAACUAGCUGGUAUCAGUGGCCUUCAUGUAAAUAUCCCCCGGUGACGUGGGCUCAGAACAAAGAAGAAGUGUAUCAGCUGCAGUCGACUCCCCUGAGACACUGCGCGUCAAGACACCUGUGGACGUACACCUCCGACUAUCAGGU